UACUANNNUUAGAGGCACNNNNNNCCCAGUGACACACGUUUAACGGCCGCGGUACCCUGACCGUGCAAAGGUAGCAUAAUCACUUGUUCUUUAAAUAGGGACUCGUAUGAAUGGCAUCACGAGGGUUUAACUGUCUCUUACUUUCAACCAGUGAAAUUGACCUGUCCGUGAAGAGACGGACAUGAAACAAUAAGACGAGAAGACCCUGUGGAGCUUCAAUUUAUUAGUACAACUAAAAACAACACAAACCAACAGGCCCUAAACCCCUACAUCUGUGCUAAAAAUUUUGGUUGGGGCGACCUCGGAGCACAACCAAACCUCCGAAUAAUCCACGCUAAGACUAUACAAGUCAAAGCAAACUAACACUUACAAUUGACCCAACAAUUUGAUCAACGGAACAAGUUACCCCAGGGAUAACAGCGCAAUUCUAUUCUAGAGUCCAUAUCAACAAUAGAGUUUACGACCUCGAUGUUGGAUCAGGAUAUCCUAAUGGUGCAGCAGCUAUCAAGGGUUCGUUUGUUCAACG
RNAcentral lists this ribosomal RNA (526 nucleotides) under Cercopithecus erythrotis (red-eared guenon). RNAcentral describes it as "partial 16S ribosomal RNA". It matches the Rfam family "Bacterial large subunit ribosomal RNA", at positions 1891 to 2586 of the family's 2925-position model. Lineage: Eukaryota; Metazoa; Chordata; Mammalia; Primates; Cercopithecidae. The record is from RNAcentral.